Molecule: ribosomal RNA, 465 nt
Filed under: Vreelandella stevensii
Lineage: Bacteria; Pseudomonadati; Pseudomonadota; Gammaproteobacteria; Oceanospirillales; Halomonadaceae
Description: partial 16S ribosomal RNA
Rfam family: Bacterial small subunit ribosomal RNA
Source: RNAcentral
CCUACGGGAGGCAGCAGUGGGGAAUAUUGGACAAUGGGCGAAAGCCUGAUCCAGCCAUGCCGCGUGUGUGAAGAAGGCCUUCGGGUUGUAAAGCACUUUCAGUGGGGAAGAAAGCCUUGGGUCUAAUACCCUCGAGGAAGGACAUCACCCACAGAAGAAGCACCGGCUAACUCCGUGCCAGCAGCCGCGGUAAUACGGAGGGUGCGAGCGUUAAUCGGAAUUACUGGGCGUAAAGCGCGCGUAGGCGGUCUGAUAAGCCGGUUGUGAAAGCCCCGGGCUCAACCUGGGAACGGCAUCCGGAACUGUCAGGCUAGAGUGCAGGAGAGGAAGGUAGAAUUCCCGGUGUAGCGGUGAAAUGCGUAGAGAUCGGGAGGAAUACCAGUGGCGAAGGCGGCCUUCUGGACUGACACUGACGCUGAGGUGCGAAAGCGUGGGUAGCAAACAGGAUUAGAUACCCGAGUAGUC